RNAcentral lists this ribosomal RNA (468 nucleotides) under uncultured bacterium. RNAcentral describes it as "partial 16S ribosomal RNA". It matches the Rfam family "Bacterial small subunit ribosomal RNA", at positions 28 to 507 of the family's 1533-position model. The record is from RNAcentral.
GACGAACGCUGGCGGCGUGCUUAACACAUGCAAGUCGAACGGAAAGGCCCUGCUUUGGUUGGGUGCGCGAGUGGCGAACGGGUGAGUAACACGUGAGUAACCUGCCCUUGACUUUGUGAUAACUUCAGGAAACUGUGGCUAAUACCUGAUACGAGCUCCUGCUGCAUGGUGGGGGUUGGAAAGCUUCGGCGGUAGGGGAUGGACUCGGGGCUUAUCAGCUUGUUGGUGGGGUAGUGGCUUACCAAGGCUUUGACGGGUAGCCGGCCUGAGAGCGUGACCGGCCACAUUGGGCCUGAGGUACGGCGCAGACGCGUACGGGAGGCAGUAGUGGGGAAUAUUGCACAAUGGGGGGAAGCGCGAUGAAGCAACGCCGCGUGCGGGAUCACGGUUUUCGGGUUGUAAACCGCUUUGGCCUGUGACGAAGCGUGAGUGACGGUACUGGGUAAAGAAGCACCGGCUAACUACGUG